Long non-coding RNA from Gadus morhua (Atlantic cod), 230 nucleotides. RefSeq lists it as uncharacterized. NCBI's taxonomy places the organism in Eukaryota, Metazoa, Chordata, Actinopteri, Gadiformes, Gadidae. The transcript is spliced from 3 exons. The record is from RefSeq and is a predicted model, not a curated record.
CAGGAGAGGUCAAAGGUUACCAGUGCUCGGUCUGUACAGCAGCAUCAAGCAGAGCUGUUCAAGAAGGAGAGAGCAGAUUCCCCUGGACCCAGCUGUGUCUCCAUGAAGAGCAACUGGUCUAUGGAGCAUCCUCCUGACCUUAAAGAUGGACGCCCUUCCAGAGAGGAGAGGCGACCCCAGGAGAGGUCAAAGGUUACCAGUGCUCAGUCUGUACAGCAGCAUCAAGCAGA